This 1590-nucleotide long non-coding RNA is filed under the name Sus scrofa (pig). RNAcentral's name for it is "lncRNA (ENSSSCG00000046309.1)". Lineage: Eukaryota; Metazoa; Chordata; Mammalia; Artiodactyla; Suidae. The record is from RNAcentral.
GACUCAUAAAGUUAUUCUUUAAAAAACUAUUGUUAAAUUUUUUUAAUCUUUCAGUAAAAUUUCUGACCCAUAAUUUAUUUAUUGGAUAAUUUUCAUCAGAAUCAUGCUAUGAUAAUAGCACUUGAUAUCAAAAUGUCAUUUAUAUGACAAAUAAACAUACAAAAAUAACUCAAUGUAACCAUUUUUCAAAUAGAUAUUAAAACAUUCUAGGAGUUCCCAUCAUGGCUCAGUGGUAACAAACCUGACUAGGACCCAUGAGGACUUGGAUUUGUUUCCUGGCCUUGCACAGUGGCUUUAGGAUCUGGUGUUGCUGUGAGCUGUGGUAUAGGUCGUAGACACGGCUCAGAUCCCACGAGUUGCUGGUGGCUGUGGUGUAGGCCGGCAGCUGCGGCUCUGAUUCGAUCCCUAGCCUGGGAACUUCCAUAUGCUGAAGGUAUGGCCCUAAAAAGAAAAAAAAAAAAUCUAGAAAUGGAUGGUCUUAUUUUUCAAAAUUGUACUACUCUAAAUUGGCAAAUAUGAGGUGAGUUGAGAUGAUUGGGAUUAUUAUAAGAGGCUUUUUUUUUUUUUUGUCUUUUUGCCUUUUCCAGGGCUGAUCCUGUGGCAUAUGGAGGUUCCCAGGCUAGGGGUCUAAUCGGAGCUGUAGCCACCAGCCUACACCAGAGCCACAGCAACGCGGGAUCCAAGCAGCGUCUGUGACCUACACCACAGCUCACGGCAACACCGGAUCCUUAACCCACUGAGCAAGGCCAGGGAUUGAACCUGCAACCUCAUGGUUCCUAGUCAGAUUCGUUAACCACUGCGCCACAACAGGAACUCCAGAAGAGGCUUUUUUGUAGAAAAAUUUAGUAAUACAUUUCAAGUGCCAUUUAAAAAUGUUCAUGCCAGGAGUUCCCGUUGUGGCACAGUGGAAACAAAUCCAACUAGGAACCAUGAGGUUGCAGGUUCGAUCCCUGGCCUUGCUCAGUGGGUUAAGGAUCCGGUGUUGCCAUGAACUGUGGUGUGGGUUGCAGACGUGGCUCAGACCUGGCAUUGCUGUGGCUGUGGCAUAGGCGGGCAGCUGUAGCUCCGAUUGGACCCUUAGCCUGGGAACCUUCAUAUGCCGCAUGUACUGCCCUAAAAAGCAGAAAAUAAAAAUAAAAAUAAAAAUGUUCGUGCCCCCAAAAUGCACUCCUAAAAAACCGACAGCAGAGAUGAUUUUUAUGUUUGUUUUUCAAAGUGUUAUUUAAAAGAGAGGAAAAGAGGAAAAAUAACGUAUUUCCAAUUCCAUUCAAAAGUAGAAAUAAAUAAAUUAUGGUAGGUUCUCACUAUAUUAAUAAUAAGUACCCAUCAGGAGUUCCCGUCGUGGCGCAGUGGUUAACGAAUCCGACUAGGAACCAUGAGGUUGCGGGUUCGGUCCCUGCCCUUGCUCAGUGGGUUAACGAUCCGGCGUUGCCGUGAGCUGUGGUGUAGGUUACAGACGCGGCUUGGAUCCCGCAUUGCUGUGGCUCUGGCGUACGCCGGUGGCUACAGCUUCGAUUCAACCCCUAGCCUGGGAACCUCCAUAUGCUGCGGGAGCGGCCCAAGAAAUAGCAACAACAACAACAAAAAGAC